AAGUCGAACGGGAAUAUCCUUCGGGAUUAGUAUAGUGGCGCACGGGUGAGUAACACGUGGGUAACCUGCCCUCAAGACAGGGAUAACCAGCCGAAAGGCUGGCUAAUACCAGAUAAGACCCCACAGGCGAAUGCCUGCGAGGCCAAAGAUACCCUCUGCAUAUGGUAUCACUUGAGGAUGGGCCCGCGGCCCAUUAGUUAGUUGGUAGGGUAACGGCCUACCAAGACAAAGAUGGGUAGCUGGUCUGAGAGGAUGAUCAGCCACACUGGGACUGAGACACGGCCCAGACUCCUACGGGAGGCAGCAGUGGGGAAUAUUGCGCAAUGGACGAAAGUCUGACGCAGCAACGCCGCGUGAGUGAUGAAGGCCUUCGGGUUGU
This 379-nucleotide ribosomal RNA is filed under the name uncultured Myxococcales bacterium. RNAcentral's name for it is "bacterial SSU rRNA". It matches the Rfam family "Bacterial small subunit ribosomal RNA", at positions 59 to 426 of the family's 1533-position model. The record is from RNAcentral. Lineage: Bacteria; Pseudomonadati; Myxococcota; Myxococcia; Myxococcales.